Molecule: transfer RNA, 69 nt
Filed under: Drombus triangularis
Lineage: Eukaryota; Metazoa; Chordata; Actinopteri; Gobiiformes; Gobiidae
Description: tRNA-Val
Rfam family: tRNA
About the family: Transfer RNA (tRNA) molecules are approximately 80 nucleotides in length.
Source: RNAcentral
CAGAGCGUAGCUAAAAGUAUAGCAUCUCCCUUACACCGAGAAGAUGCCCGUGCAAGCCGGGUCGCACUG